RNAcentral lists this ribosomal RNA (864 nucleotides) under uncultured Deferribacteres bacterium. Its description in RNAcentral is "bacterial SSU rRNA". It matches the Rfam family "Bacterial small subunit ribosomal RNA", at positions 56 to 904 of the family's 1533-position model. The record is from RNAcentral. Lineage: Bacteria; Pseudomonadati; Deferribacterota; Deferribacteres.
UGCAGUCGAACGAGAAAGUACCCUUCGGGGUGCGAGUAAAGUGGCGAACGGGUGAGUAACACGUGGGUAACCUGCCUUUGAGUGGGGAACAACCCCUCUAACGAGGGGCUAAUACCGCAUAAUGCAGCGGCUCCGCAUGGAGACAGUUGUUAAAGGGGCAGCUUCGGUUGUCUCGCUUGAAGAUGGACCCGCGGUCCAUUAGCUUGUUGGUGAGGUAACGGCUCACCAAGGCAACGAUGGAUAGCCGGCCUGAGAGGGUGUACGGCCACACUGGAACUGAGAGAGGUCCAGUCCCCUACGGGGGCCAGCAGUCUAGAAAUUUGCGCAAUGGGCGAAAGCCUGACGCAGCGACGCCACGUGGAGGAUGAAGCCCUUAGGGGUGUAAACUCCUGUCAGAAGGGAAGAAUGCAGGAAAUAACUUUUCCUGUUUGACUGUACCUUCAGAGGAAGCCCCGGCUAACUUCGUGCCAGCAGCCGCGGUAAUACGAAGGGGGCAAGCGUUGUUCGGAUUUACUGGGCGUAAAGGGCGUGCAGGCGGACCGAUAAGUCGUCUGUGAAAUCUGUCGGCCCAACCAACAACUUGCAGUCGAAACUAUCGGUCUUGAGUACAGGAGAGGAGAGCGGAAUCUCAGGUGUAGCGGUGAAAUGCGUAGAUAUCUGGGAGAACACCGGUGGCGAAGGCGGCUCUCUGGCCUGAUACUGACGCUGAGGCGCGAAAGCUAGGGGAGCGAACGGGAUUAGAUACCCCGGUAGUCCUAGCUGUAAACGAUGGGUACUAGUGUUGGAGGUUUUGACCCCUCCAGUGCCGCAGCUAACGCAUUAAGUACCCCGCCUGGGGAGUACGGUCGCAAGGCUGAAACUCAA